This is a non-coding RNA of Paramuricea clavata, 240 nucleotides long. Lineage: Eukaryota; Metazoa; Cnidaria; Anthozoa; Malacalcyonacea; Plexauridae. The record is from the annotation of a GenBank genome assembly.
CUUUUAGUUUGCCGUUUAAAGUGAUUGUUUGUGUAUCGGGAUACCAUCGAAGAUCAAUAUCUUCGGAUUUAAACUGUUUAGCACCUCCUCCGGGGCAGCACCAACCGCCAUCAGCUAAAUUCAAUAUUUCUUCUACAAACUUCUGUAAAUCUUGCAAGGAUUUUGUCCAAAUCAACUUGCCUUUGUUGUUGAAUGAUACACCAUGCAGAAGACUCAUUUCUGGCAAAAAUUAAGCUUCAA